This 106-nucleotide small nucleolar RNA is filed under the name Ictidomys tridecemlineatus (thirteen-lined ground squirrel). RNAcentral describes it as "Spermophilus tridecemlineatus (thirteen-lined ground squirrel) Small nucleolar RNA U13". It matches the Rfam family "Small nucleolar RNA U13". Lineage: Eukaryota; Metazoa; Chordata; Mammalia; Rodentia; Sciuridae. The record is from Rfam by way of RNAcentral.
AUCCACUUUGGUUCAUGAUUGUAAUUAUUGGGUGUGCAUGCUGUUGUAGUGAAAUGUACUUCUCUCCUGAAUCUUGUUAAGAUAUCAACACCUUACCUGCCUGAUC